Molecule: long non-coding RNA, 477 nt
Organism: Schistocerca serialis cubense
Lineage: Eukaryota; Metazoa; Arthropoda; Insecta; Orthoptera; Acrididae
Exons: 4
Source: RefSeq, a predicted model, not a curated record
CUUGUCUGCGCGAGUCUGCAGUAGUAGUCAGUCGGAUACGGUAGUAGCGAGUCGGCAUGCGUCGGCUGUGUGCUCUGGUCGCGACUCUGGUCAGGACUCUGGAGGAUGAGUAUUGUUGUAGAAGGAGCGUCAAUUUACACUUGACGCUUUUUUUGUGGAGCUGCUGCAGAAGCGGCUGCAGGAAGAAGAAGAAAUCCGUGCUGCUCCGGUGCGUCAGUUUACGCUUGACGCGUUUUUUUGAGGAGCUACUGCAGAGACGACUGCAGUGAGAAGAAGAAAGCCACACUGCUACGGUCACUGCAGCGGCCUCCCCGCCAACCAUGAGGCUCCAUACUCCACACCAUGCAGCUCUUCUUAGUCACCAAAUCCUACGCUGCAUGUUGCGGGCGUCGCCAUCAACUCGGCGUCUGCAGAAGGCCGUCUGGCUGCUAAACUGUUCGACGGGGACACCGCGACUACUAACACCUCAAACCACAG